RNAcentral lists this ribosomal RNA (254 nucleotides) under Lachnospiraceae bacterium. RNAcentral's name for it is "partial 23S ribosomal RNA". It matches the Rfam family "Bacterial large subunit ribosomal RNA", at positions 2680 to 2925 of the family's 2925-position model. Lineage: Bacteria; Bacillati; Bacillota; Clostridia; Lachnospirales; Lachnospiraceae. The record is from RNAcentral.
AGUACGAGAGGACCGGGAUGGACGGACCGCUGGUGUACCUGUUGGCUUGCCAGAGCCACGGCAGGGUAGCCAAGUCCGGCAGGGAUAAACGCUGAAGGCAUCUAAGCGUGAAGCCCCCCUCAAGAUGAGAUAUCCCACGGCGGAGCGAUCUGCUGGUAAGACCCCUUGGAGAGUACGAGGUAGAUAGGCCUGGGGUGUAAGCGCAGCAAUGCGUUAAGCUGACAGGUACUAAUCGGUCGAGGGCUUGACCACAA